AAUGAACGCUGGCGGCAUGCCUAACACAUGCAAGUCGAACGAAGGCUUCGGCCUUAGUGGCGCACGGGUGCGUAACGCGUGGGAAUCUGCCCUUGGGUUCGGAAUAACAGUUAGAAAUGACUGCUAAUACCGGAUGAUGUCGUAAGACCAAAGAUUUAUCGCCCAAGGAUGAGCCCGCGUAGGAUUAGCUAGUUGGUGGGGUAAAGGCCUACCAAGGCGCCGAUCCUUAGCUGGUCUGAGAGGAUGAUCAGCCACACUGGGACUGAGACACGGCCCAGACUCCUACGGGAGGCAGCAGUGGGGAAUAUUGGACAAUGGGCGAAAGCCUGAUCCAGCAAUGCCGCGUGAGUGAUGAAGGCCUUAGGGUUGUAAAGCUCUUUUACCCGGGAUGAUAAUGACAGUACCGGGAGAAUAAGCUCCGGCUAACUUCGUG
RNAcentral lists this ribosomal RNA (433 nucleotides) under uncultured bacterium. RNAcentral describes it as "partial 16S ribosomal RNA". It matches the Rfam family "Bacterial small subunit ribosomal RNA", at positions 29 to 507 of the family's 1533-position model. The record is from RNAcentral.